UGGGGUAUAGCUUAGUGGUAGAGUACAUGCUUAGCAUGCACAAGGUCCUGGGUUCAAUCCCUAGUAUCUCCA
Molecule: transfer RNA, 72 nt
Filed under: Camelus bactrianus (Bactrian camel)
Lineage: Eukaryota; Metazoa; Chordata; Mammalia; Artiodactyla; Camelidae
Also listed under: 2 other names
Rfam family: tRNA
About the family: Transfer RNA (tRNA) molecules are approximately 80 nucleotides in length.
Source: Rfam by way of RNAcentral